AACGAACGCUGGCGGCAUGCCUAACACAUGCAAGUCGAACGCCCCGCAAGGGGAGUGGCGAACGGGUGAGUAACGCGUGGGAACCUACCCAGCAGUUGGGGAUAACCGCGGGAAACUGCGGCUAAUACCGAAUACGUCCUAUGGGAGAAAGAUUUAUCGCUGUUGGAGGGGCCCGCGUCGGAUUAGCUAGUUGGUGAGGUAACGGCUCACCAAGGCUUCGAUCCGUAGCUGGUCUGAGAGGAUGAUCAGCCACACUGGGACUUAGACACGGCCCAGACUCCUACGGGAGGCAGCAGUGGGGAAUAUUGGACAAUGCGGGCAACCCUGAUCCAGCAAUGCCGCGUGAGUGAUGAAGGCCUUAGGGUUGUAAAGCUCUUUUGCCGGGGACGAUGAUGACGGUACCCGGAGAAUAAGCCCCGGCUAACUUCGUGCCAGCAGCCGCCGCCG
RNAcentral lists this ribosomal RNA (447 nucleotides) under uncultured bacterium. RNAcentral describes it as "partial 16S ribosomal RNA". It matches the Rfam family "Bacterial small subunit ribosomal RNA", at positions 29 to 523 of the family's 1533-position model. The record is from RNAcentral.